GACGAACGCUGGCGGCGUGCCUAAUACAUGCAAGUCGAGCGGACCAAAGGGAGCUUGCUCCUGGAGGUUAGCGGCGAACGGGUGAGUAACACGUGGGCAACCUGCCUGUAAGACUGGGAUAACAUCGAGAAAUCGGUGCUAAUACCGGAUAAUAAAAAGAACUGCAUGGUUCUUUUUUGAAAGAUGGUUUCGGCUAUCACUUACAGAUGGGCCCGCGGCGCAUUAGCUAGUUGGUGAGGUAACGGCUCACCAAGGCGACGAUGCGUAGCCGACCUGAGAGGGUGAUCGGCCACACUGGGACUGAGACACGGCCCAGACUCCUACGGGAGGCAGCAGUAGGGAAUCUUCCGCAAUGGACGAAAGUCUGACGGAGCAACGCCGCGUGAGUGAUGAAGGUUUUCGGAUCGUAAAACUCUGUUGUUAGGAAGAACAAGUGCGUUCGAAAGGGCGGCACCUUGACGGUACCUAACGAGAAAGCCACGGCUAACUACGUGCCAGCAGCCGC
This 505-nucleotide ribosomal RNA is filed under the name uncultured bacterium. RNAcentral describes it as "bacterial SSU rRNA". It matches the Rfam family "Bacterial small subunit ribosomal RNA", at positions 28 to 518 of the family's 1533-position model. The record is from RNAcentral.